CUACGAAGGUGUUGGAACCUUACCAGGUCUUGUGUGUUUCACCAGUUAUUGUAAAGGGUUUCUGAGCGUCUCAAUCGCUCAAACAGCUUUCAUAUUAUCAAGCAGGUAGACAGAAUAAUGACAGUACCAUGCAGCAGGCUUCAAACAAGUUGGUAGAACAAUCCGUAUGGCUCCUAAUGUAACCCCUGUCCUAUCGUCUGGGCGACUGGUUCACCAUCAGAAGCAUUGACCUACUGCACAAGCACAUUUUUAAAGAGCUGUGACGGAUAGACCAGGAGAAAUGGUGCCAGAGAUGGAGUCUCUGGAAGACGUGGAGCGUUGCAGCUGACCUGUGUCCACCAUCACCAAGGACAACGUUGUUGCCGUGCGGGCCAUAGUUGAGGUGGAUGCCAGGGUGACCAUGGCCCAGUAGUUAGAGAAGGAGAUACACAACUCAUCAGGAUCUACUCUGUCCACAAUACGCACAACUGUAUUUACAAUUGGUUACUAGUGCCGGAUUAACAACUGGGUGGUGGUUGCCCCAGAGCCCCACAUACACGGGGGUCCUCCCAACAUUGCACACGUUCAGAGUCAGAGACGUCAGCUAAUAAUCAAGCUGCAAUGCUGUCACAGUAGAGCAGCUGGAAGGAGCCAUCAGGAUCAUAGAGCACAGAGUGCAUAGUAAUGAAUGGAUGGUGCCCAUCUGUAAAUGAGCCCCAAUAUACUCUAAUGUUUAACUGUGGAGCAGUCAUUUUCAAAAGCACCAAAGGAUAGUGUAAAAAUGUUGUCAGGAUCAGUGGUCUCCUCUCUGCAAACAGGGUGCUGUUCUUGGCUCCUGCAUUAUCAUUUUAUGGCACCUAGACGUUUGACUCCUAACUCCUGUGCUUGACAUCAGUGCUAAUAAUUGGAUAUCCAUCACCAGAACUUGGAGUGUACCUGACCUGCAUCUGUCUUUGCCCAUAAUAUUUGGAUAUCUGUUACCAGACCUUGAUUGUAUUUAACCUGCUACCUGUCUGAGAUCUCACACAAGCAAUUCAAUGAGUUACCAUUCAAACCAGGUUGGAGGAGAUACAUUGAAUUCCUGUACAACUACUCUUUGCAGCAGCUGGACCUGAACCUGUAGCUGCUGCUAAAGAACCAAGGGGCAGAUGUAUUAAGCCUGGACAAGUGAUAAAG
Molecule: long non-coding RNA, 1155 nt
Organism: Pseudophryne corroboree (corroboree frog)
Lineage: Eukaryota; Metazoa; Chordata; Amphibia; Anura; Myobatrachidae
Exons: 6
Source: RefSeq, a predicted model, not a curated record